RNAcentral lists this ribosomal RNA (253 nucleotides) under uncultured bacterium. Its description in RNAcentral is "partial 16S ribosomal RNA". It matches the Rfam family "Bacterial small subunit ribosomal RNA", at positions 57 to 305 of the family's 1533-position model. The record is from RNAcentral.
GCAAGUCGAGGGGUAACGAAAGUAGCUUGCUACUAGGCGACGACCGGCGCACGGGUGAGUAACACGUAUGCAACCUACCUUUUACAGAGGGAUAGCCCAGAGAAAUUUGGAUUAAUACCUCAUAGUAUUUUAAAAUCGCAUGAUUUAAAAAUUAAAACUCCGGUGGUAAAAGAUGGGCAUGCGUUCUAUUAGUUAGUUGGUGAGGUAACGGCUCACCAAGACGAUGAUGCUUAGGGGGUCUGAGAGGAUAGUC